GGAGAGGUGCUGGAGGGGCCGAACAGGGCUGACUGCUAAUCAGUUUCACCCCAAAAGGGUGACGGGGGUUCGAAUCCCCCCCUCUCCGCCA
RNAcentral lists this transfer RNA (91 nucleotides) under Terriglobia bacterium. Its description in RNAcentral is "tRNA-Ser". It matches the Rfam family "tRNA". Rfam says of the family: Transfer RNA (tRNA) molecules are approximately 80 nucleotides in length. Their secondary structure includes four short double-helical elements and three loops (D, anti-codon, and T loops). Lineage: Bacteria; Pseudomonadati; Acidobacteriota; Terriglobia. RNAcentral also lists the same sequence under 1 other name. The record is from RNAcentral.